CGCCUGUUUAUCAAAAACAUCUUUUCUCGUUAGUUUUUGAAGUAUGGCCUGCCCGCUGACUUUGAUGUUGAAGGGCCGCGGUAUUUUGACCGUGCAAAGGUAGCAUAGUCAUUAGUUCUUUAAUUGUGAUCUGGUAUGAAUGGCUUGACGAGGCAUGGGCUGUCUUAAUUUUGAAUUGUUUAUUGAAUUUGGUCUUUGAGUUAAAAUUCUUAGAUGUUUUUAUGGGACGAGAAGACCCUAUAGAGUUUGACAUUUAUAUGGUCUCUUUUCGUUUGUGAGGGUUCACUGGGCCAUUUAGUAUGUUUUGUUGGGGUGAUGGGAGGGAUAUAAUUUAACCCCUCCUUUGUGUUGUUAUAUUUAUUUAUAUUUGUUUGAUCCAUUUAUUUUGAUUGUAAGAUUAAAUUACCUUAGGGAUAACAGCGUAA
This 425-nucleotide ribosomal RNA is filed under the name Reticulitermes hageni (light southeastern subterranean termite). RNAcentral's name for it is "partial 16S ribosomal RNA". It matches the Rfam family "Bacterial large subunit ribosomal RNA", at positions 1797 to 2485 of the family's 2925-position model. The record is from RNAcentral. Lineage: Eukaryota; Metazoa; Arthropoda; Insecta; Blattodea; Rhinotermitidae.